CUUGAGGAGUACGGCCGCAAGCUUGAAACUCAAAGGAAUUGACGGGGGCCCGCACAAGCGUUGGAGCAUGUGGUUUAAUUCGAAGCAACGCGAAGAACCUUACCAGCUCUUGACAUGUCUCGUAUGGAACACAGAGAUGAGUUCCUUCAGUUCGGCUGGCGAGAACACAGGUGCUGCAUGGCUGUCGUCAGCUCGUGUCGUGAGAUGUUGGGUUAAGUCCCGCAACGAGCGCAACCCUCGUCCUUAGUUGCCAUCAUUAAGUUGGGUACUUUAAGGAGACUGCCGGUGAUAAACCGCGAGGAAGGUGGGGAUGACGUCAGGUCGUCAUGGCCCUUAUGGGCUGGGCUACACACGUGCUACAAUGGUGGUGACAGAGGGCAGCCAAGGAGCGAUCCGGAGCUAAUCCUUAAAAGCCAUCUCAGUUCAGAUUGCACUCUGCAACUCGAGUGCAUGAAGUUGGAAUCGCUAGUAAUCGCAGAUCAGCUA
Molecule: ribosomal RNA, 486 nt
Filed under: uncultured bacterium
Lineage: Bacteria
Description: bacterial SSU rRNA
Rfam family: Bacterial small subunit ribosomal RNA
Source: RNAcentral